Molecule: ribosomal RNA, 255 nt
Filed under: Escherichia coli
Lineage: Bacteria; Pseudomonadati; Pseudomonadota; Gammaproteobacteria; Enterobacterales; Enterobacteriaceae
Also listed under: 4 other names
Description: partial 23S ribosomal RNA
Rfam family: Bacterial large subunit ribosomal RNA
Source: RNAcentral
CAGUGUACCCGCGGCAAGACGGAAAGACCCCGUGAACCUUUACUAUAGCUUGACACUGAACAUUGAGCCUUGAUGUGUAGGAUAGGUGGGAGGCUUUGAAGUGUGGACGCCAGUCUGCAUGGAGCCGACCUUGAAAUACCACCCUUUAAUGUUUGAUGUUCUAACGUGGACCCGUAAUCCGGGUUGCGGACAGUGUCUGGUGGGUAGUUUGACUGGGGCGGUCUCCUCCUAAAGAGUAACGGAGGAGCACGAAGG